Molecule: long non-coding RNA, 104 nt
Organism: Melitaea cinxia (Glanville fritillary)
Lineage: Eukaryota; Metazoa; Arthropoda; Insecta; Lepidoptera; Nymphalidae
Exons: 2
Source: RefSeq, a predicted model, not a curated record
UGCUCGCAAACGAAAAAAAAACCGACUUCAAUUACAUAGACAAGUAAUACAACGAAAGUAGACGAAAAAAUAAUCAAGUAAAUGCACAUUAUUAGAGGUAACUC